RNAcentral lists this small nuclear RNA (107 nucleotides) under Cebus imitator (Panamanian white-faced capuchin). The record is from RNAcentral. Lineage: Eukaryota; Metazoa; Chordata; Mammalia; Primates; Cebidae.
GUGCUCACUUUGGCAGCACAUAUACUAAAAUUGGAACGAUAUAGAGAAGAUUAGCACGGCCCCUGCGCAAGGAUGACACGCAAAUUCGUGAAGCGUUCUAUAUUUUU